GAGACAGGGUUUCUCUGUAUGGCCCUGGCUGUCUUGGAGCUCACUCUGUAGACCAGGCUGGCUCGAACUCAGAAAUCCGCCUGCCUCUGCCUCCCAAAGUGCUGGGAUUACAGGCAUGCACCACCACCGCCUGGCCAUGAACAGUCGUCUUAAAUGAACAACAGACUGUAUACUGAGCUGUGUACAAAUAAUAAAAGUUACCAUCAAAGAAAUCUUA
Apodemus sylvaticus (European woodmouse) is the source of this 217-nucleotide long non-coding RNA. RefSeq lists it as uncharacterized. Lineage: Eukaryota; Metazoa; Chordata; Mammalia; Rodentia; Muridae. The record is from RefSeq and is a predicted model, not a curated record. The transcript has 2 exons.